UACGGAAGGGGCAAGCGUUAAUCGGAUUUACUGGGCGUAAAGCGUGCGUAGGCGGCUUGAUAAGGCGGAUGUGAAAGCCCCGGGCUCAACCUGGAAAUUGCACCCGAAACUGUCUGGCUAGAGUGGGGUAGAGGAAAGUGGAAUUCCAGGUGUAGCGGUGAAAUGCGUAGAUAUCUGGAGGAACAUCAAUGGCGAAGGCAGCUUUCUGGGCCAACACUGACGCCGAGGUACGAAAGCGUGGGGAGCAAACAGG
Molecule: unclassified non-coding RNA, 253 nt
Filed under: uncultured Gammaproteobacteria bacterium
Lineage: Bacteria; Pseudomonadati; Pseudomonadota; Gammaproteobacteria
Description: contains 16S-23S intergenic spacer region
Rfam family: Bacterial small subunit ribosomal RNA
Source: RNAcentral